UGACGAACGCUGGCGGCGUGCUUAACACAUGCAAGUCGAACGGAAAGGCCCUGCUUUUGUGGGGUGCUCGAGUGGCGAACGGGUGAGUAACACGUGAGUAACCUGCCCUUGACUUUGGGAUAACUUCAGGAAACUGGGGCUAAUACCGGAUAGGAGCUCCUGCUGCAUGGUGGGGGUUGGAAAGUUUCGGCGGUUGGGGAUGGACUCGCGGCUUAUCAGCUUGUUGGUGGGGUAGUGGCUUACCAAGGCUUUGACGGGUAGCCGGCCUGAGAGGGUGACCGGCCACAUUGGGACUGAGAUACGGCCCAGACUCCUACGGGAGGCAGCAGUGGGGAAUAUUGCACAAUGGGCGGAAGCCUGAUGCAGCAACGCCGCGUGCGGGAUGACGGCCUUCGGGUUGUAAACCGCUUUCGCCUGUGACGAAGCGUGAGUGACGGUAAUGGGUAAAGAAGCACCGGCUAACUACGUGCCAGCAGCCGCGGUGAUACGUAGGGUGCGAGCGUUGUCCGGAUUUAUUGGGCGUAAAGGGCUCGUAGGUGGUUGAUCGCGUCGGAAGUGUAAUCUUGGGGCUUAACCCUGAGCGUGCUUUCGAUACGGGUUGACUUGAGGAAGGUAGGGGAGAAUGGAAUUCCUGGUGGAGCGGUGGAAUGCGCAGAUAUCAGGAGGAACACCAGUGGCGAAGGCGGUUCUCUGGGCCUUUCCUGACACUGAGGAGCGAAAGCGUGGGGAGCGAACAGGCUUAGAUACCCUGGUAGUCCACGCUGUAAACGGUGGGUACUAGGUGUGGGGUCCAUUCCACGGGUUCCGUGCCGUAGCUAACGCUUUAAGUACCCCGCCUGGGGAGUACGGCCGCAAGGCUAAAACUCAAAGGAAUUGACGGGGCCCCGCACAAGCGGCGGAGCAUGCGGAUUAAUUCGAUGCAACGCGUAGAACCUUACCUGGGUUUGACAUGGAUCGGGAGUGCUCAGAGAUGGGUGUGCCUCUUUUGGGGUCGGUUCACAGGUGGUGCAUGGCUGUCGUCAGCUCGUGUCGUGAGAUGUUGGGUUAAGUCCCGCAACGAGCGCAACCCUUGUUCACUGUUGCCAGCACGUUAUGGUGGGGACUCAGUGGAGACCGCCGGGGUCAACUCGGAGGAAGGUGGGGAUGACGUCAAGUCAUCAUGCCCCUUAUGUCCAGGGCUUCACGCAUGCUACAAUGGCUGGUACAGAGAGUGGCGAGCCUGUGAGGGUGAGCGAAUCUCGGAAAGCCGGUCUCAGUUCGGAUUGGGGUCUGCAACUCGACCUCAUGAAGUCGGAGUCGCUAGUAAUCGCAGAUCAGCAACGCUGCGGUGAAUACGUUCCCGGGGCUUGUACACACCGCCCGUCAAGUCAUGAAAGUUGGUAACACCCGAAGCCGGUGGCCUAACCGUUGUGGGGGAGCCGUCGAAGGUGGG
This 1432-nucleotide ribosomal RNA is filed under the name uncultured organism. Its description in RNAcentral is "partial small subunit ribosomal RNA". It matches the Rfam family "Bacterial small subunit ribosomal RNA". The record is from RNAcentral.